CGGGCAGGUGGAGGUCGUUAGCCGUGGUAGGCAAUUCGCCUAGGAGAGGGACAACUCCGAACAACAAACCCGGGCAGGUGGAGGUCGUCAGCCGUGGUAGGCAAUCUGCCUAGGAGAGGGACAACUCCGAACAACAAACACGGGCAGGUGGAGGUCGUCAGCCGUGAUAGGCAAUUCGCCUAGGAGAGGGACAACUCCGAACAACAAACCCGGGCAGGUGGAGGUCGUUAGCGUGAGCAGUUCACCUAGGAGAGCAAACUCCGAUUACAAACCCGGGCAGGUGGAGCUCGUUAGCGUGAGCAGUUCACCUAGGAGAGCAAACUCCGAUUACAAACCCGGGCAGGUGGAGCUCGUUAGCGUGAGCAGUUCACCUAGGAGAGCAAACUCCGAUUACAAACCCGGGCAGGUGGAGCUCGUUAGCGUGAGCAGUUCACCUAGGAGAGCAAACUCCGAUCACAAACCCGGGCAGGUGGAGCUCGUUAGCGUGAGCAGUUCACCUAGGAGAGCAAACUCCGAUCACAAACCCGGGCAGGUGGAGGUCGUUAGCCGCGAGGCAGUUCACCUAGGAGAAGGAUAACUCUGACCACAAACCCGGGCAGGAGGGGGUCGUUAGCCGUGGUAGGCAGUCCUCCUAGGAGAAGGAAAACUCCGAAUUCAAACCAACACACACACACACACACACCAGCCGGGCAGGUGGGGCUCGUUAUAGGCGUCGUAGACAAUCCACCAAGGGGAAUCAACAAUAAAAGGAUAAUAAAAGCGAACACACGAGAAGAAUAUGAAAUCAGAACCGGACAAAAAAGGAUAAUAUGAGAUGGAACACCGAAUAAAGGAUAGUUAAGAACACAACAUCGAGAAAGAAUAAGACACACGUGGAUCAUCCAGACUGAAACAGAAGACCAAAAAAUGGAUGGUAUAAAAAGAACGGAAAAAAGAUAACGUAAUAACAACGCACAGAAAAUAACGUAGAACACCAAGAAAAGGAAAAUAAGGAAAAUAUAGAAACAACAUCAUUGAUACCGCCGCUCCGUGGGCGGUAGGAGAAUGAAAUGACCCUUUUCGUAGACGCACAGUAUAAUGUGGUCCAAGCUGUCAAAAUAACAUUUACCGCCAGGACCACAAUCACGACGCUCGAAAACGCCCGCGUCUCUGAGCACUAAGCCGGGCAGCUGAACACUUCACUUAGCAUCUAACGUUCAGCAUUGUAUUUCACUUACUAU
Long non-coding RNA from Eriocheir sinensis (Chinese mitten crab), 1220 nucleotides. RefSeq lists it as uncharacterized. NCBI's taxonomy places the organism in Eukaryota, Metazoa, Arthropoda, Malacostraca, Decapoda, Varunidae. The transcript is spliced from 2 exons. The record is from RefSeq and is a predicted model, not a curated record.